Molecule: long non-coding RNA, 797 nt
Filed under: Homo sapiens (human)
Lineage: Eukaryota; Metazoa; Chordata; Mammalia; Primates; Hominidae
Description: SLC6A17 antisense RNA 1
Source: RNAcentral
CGGCCCCAUGUGAAUAUGUCCCAGCUUUUCCUCCUUAGCACCAAUGGCAAAUCUUCCAUGCUGUUUCAGGCAACGUGGUCGACUCUCAGUUUAGGAAACAUGGUGACUGGGGUCCUGGAACCCCAGCUGUGAGUAAUUCCCAUGUUGAGGAUCCCCCUCCCUGCCCUUGUCCUGACGUAGGACUCUGGCCUGGAAACUCGGUGACCUCGUCUCCAAUGCCCAGGAGCAGCCCCCUGCCUCCCACUCAGUGCCUGCCCCAGCCCUUGACUCACUAUGCAGCUGGAGAAGCCGAUGCCCCCCAGGCGGGGACAUAUAUAGUGCCACACACCGAUGCUGCCGCGGCGGAUCCUCUGACCCACAGCCAGCUCCAGGAAGAAGAGGGGGAUCCCGAUGAUGAUCAGCAGCACCAGGUAGGGGAACCUCCAGAUGUUGCCGAGGCCCACAGAGAAGCCAAUCUGGGCCAGGAUGUACUGCAGCUUACUGUUCCAGGCCGGCCGGUCCUCUGCAUCCAGCUCCUCCUCCACCGCCUUCUGCUUGCCGCCUGCCUCACCAGCCACAUUCAGUACACUCUGCUUAUAGUCCACAGGCUCCUCGAGGGCCAGCAGGUCGGCCACGGACUCAGUGACAUGCUCACUGCUGUGCUCACGCUGGGUCACUUUGCUGUUCUUCGGCAUUGAUGCCACCUGGGCCGUGUAGCCCUGCUCCCCAGCACACAGAGAAGAUGGAAUUCAGCUGCUGUCAGCUCCUUCUCAUUCAGGGACCUAGGAAACCAGGUGAGCAGUAAAGGAUUAUCUGAC